AUUAAUACCAUUAGAACAUCUUCACAUUAUAGCUUCACACAAACUUUACAUAUAGCUUCAUAUGUGUAUAAUAAUACAACACUAUAAUAGCACUCAUAUAAUGCCCUUCAUGGCCUCAAUUUACAAUAAUACGAUAUUCCAACAUUAUACAACAACUUCACCAAUGCCUUCAUGGCUACAAUUCACAAUAAUACCACACA
This 200-nucleotide long non-coding RNA is filed under the name Solanum tuberosum (potato). RNAcentral describes it as "long non-coding RNA (STUB_LNC001436)". The record is from RNAcentral. Lineage: Eukaryota; Viridiplantae; Streptophyta; Magnoliopsida; Solanales; Solanaceae.